UCUUCAUUUCACGUGCUCUCUCACCGGUCAGAAAGACGAGAGAGUGUGAGAAAUGAAGAGA
This 61-nucleotide microRNA precursor is filed under the name Pristionchus pacificus. Its description in RNAcentral is "mir-8364 microRNA precursor family". It matches the Rfam family "mir-8364 microRNA precursor family". The record is from Rfam by way of RNAcentral. Lineage: Eukaryota; Metazoa; Nematoda; Chromadorea; Rhabditida; Neodiplogasteridae.